UACAGAGGGUGCGAGCGUUAAUCGGAAUUAUUGGGCGUAAAGCGUGCGUAGGCGGAUGAAUAAGUCGGAUGUGAAAUCCCUGGGCUUAACCUAGGAAUUGCGUCUGAUACUGUUCAUCUAGAGUAUGGUAGAGGGUGACGGAAUUUCCGGUGUAGCGGUGAAAUGCGUAGAUAUCGGAAGGAACAUCAGUGGCGAAGGCGGUUGCCUGGACCGAUACUGACGCUGAGGCACGAAAGCAUGGGUAGCGAACAGG
This 253-nucleotide ribosomal RNA is filed under the name uncultured bacterium. Its description in RNAcentral is "partial 16S ribosomal RNA". It matches the Rfam family "Bacterial small subunit ribosomal RNA", at positions 524 to 776 of the family's 1533-position model. The record is from RNAcentral.